AGUCCUAUGGUGUAAUGGCAAUCAUACGAGUCUCUGGAACUUGUGACUCCGGUUCGACUCCGGAUAGGACUA
Methanobrevibacter millerae is the source of this 72-nucleotide non-coding RNA. The record is from Rfam. Lineage: Archaea; Methanobacteriati; Methanobacteriota; Methanobacteria; Methanobacteriales; Methanobacteriaceae.